GACGAACGCUGGCGGCGUGCUUAACACAUGCAAGUCGAACGGAAAGGCCCUGCUUUUGUGGGGUGCUCGAGUGGCGAACGGGUGAGUAACACGUGAGUAACCUGCCCUUGACUUUGGGAUAACUUCAGGAAACUGGGGCUAAUACCGGAUAGGAGCUCCUGCUGCAUGGUGGGGAUUGGAAAGUUUCGGCGGUUGGGGAUGGACUCGCGGCUUAUCAGCUUGUUGGUGGGGUAGUGGCUUACCAAGGCUUUGACGGGUAGCCGGCCUGAGAGGGUGACCGGCCACAUUGGGACUGAGAUACGGCCCAGACUCCUACGGGAGGCAGCAGUGGGAAUAUUGCACAAUGGGCGGAAGCCUGAUGCAGCAACGCCGCGUGCGGGAUGACGGCCUUCGGGUUGUAAACCGCUUUCGCCUGUGACGAAGCGUGAGUGACGGUAAUGGGUAAAGAAGCACCGGCUAACUACGUG
This 467-nucleotide ribosomal RNA is filed under the name uncultured bacterium. Its description in RNAcentral is "partial 16S ribosomal RNA". It matches the Rfam family "Bacterial small subunit ribosomal RNA", at positions 28 to 507 of the family's 1533-position model. The record is from RNAcentral.